This is a non-coding RNA of Myodes glareolus (Bank vole), 1535 nucleotides long. Lineage: Eukaryota; Metazoa; Chordata; Mammalia; Rodentia; Cricetidae. The record is from RefSeq and is a predicted model, not a curated record.
ACUGCUCUUGCGGAGGACACGGGCUCAACUCCUGUUGCAAUUUCAACUAUAAUUCCAGUUCCAGAGCAUCUGGUGCCCUCUUCUGACCUCUGUGGACAUCUGCGAGCACCUGAUGCACAUUGUACACCUGGGCACUCAUAGACACAUUACAUAAAUUAAUCUUUAAAGAAAGAAAGUACAUGUUUCACCUUUUCCCAUGGUGGAUCAAGAGAGGAUUAGGAUACCGUAGACUAGUGUUUUCCAAGGUAUUCUGCACGUGUACAAAAUUAAUUUAAAAUAUGUCCCUAAAUCAUGGACCCAUGUGAGAUGGGUAUCUCUCUCUCUGUCAAAGAAAAUUUAGAAUAAUGGGUAAGGAUCUAUAUAGUUGCUAAUUAUCAGUACAUAUGAAAAAUUUUUGUAUUGUCACCCUUUUGUUAAGGUCCAAAAACCAGUUCCUUGAGCUUUUUACCAUGAACUGUUCCGUCCUUGAUUGAUUUCUUACAACACUAUGAUUUUUGUACUCUGUUGGAAUUAGAGCAGAUCUGGAUCUAUGGGUAUCGUGUUGCUUUGUUUCCUGGCGCUGUUGAGCUAAUGGUGAUGUCAUCACUCACAACAUGGGACAUCCCUCAUCCUGCCCAUGCCUCUCUGCCUUCGUCUUACCCUCUGCUUAUGUCCUCCCUCUCACCAGGACAGCACCCCCCAGUCGGGACCAAUCCUUUCGGAAUGGAUUCUCUUAAUGUACUCUGCAAGUCCUCAGUUUACUGUCUGAUUGGUGCUAGUGUUUCCUGCCCUUGCCUGCUUCUUAGGAUGACUCCACACCAGCUAUCCUUUGAGUACCAGAGAGUUGAGCUGUCUGUGCAUGGGCAACAUUUGACAUCCUGCAAAAUGUUGUCCAAGUAGAAAAGCCAAGCCAAAGAGUAGAAGAGGAAUCCCUACUUCCUUCUGAACAAUGUGCUUUCUGUGGGUUUUGACUGCCCCCAAGGAACGACGCUAGUAGACUUGCUUCUGGAUCUUCCAAAGUCGGCACUAACUGCAGCCUUCAGAUUAGAGAAAGCCGAAAACAAAAGAAUGCCACUUUUUUUUCCCUCUCUGGGCUAUCUUUAGAAGCAAAUGUUCACAGAAUAUGGAGCAGACGCGACAUGCCAGCCUUGCUGAUUGCACAUGCAGGAAUCGAGCUUCAUCCUUCUUUUUUGUCCACCUCGGAAGCCUGGGUGGAAACGCAUGUUACAGUGAAGAAGUCUCAUCUGGCACUCAGCCUGAAACACCUUUUGAUUUCUUUGACUGGUUCCUAGAAUUAUGGAGAUCUGUUGGGCGGACAGGUUUAUUUGGUACAGGGCAGUGCUUCUUGCCUUGGAUGCUCUGUUUCCACGGAGACGUUGUGAGGAUGCUGUUGUGGGGCAAUGGGGUCCUAUCUGAGAGUGCCAUUGUGCAUGUUGGUCUCCUCGAGGCCAGGCAGGUGGUUUAUUGAUGUGGGAGAAUUGUCUGUAUUCUGUCAAUCAUAUUUUAAUAAAAUGCUGAUUGGCCAGGCAGGCAGUAUAGGCGGGAAAGCCAGACAG